This 783-nucleotide long non-coding RNA is filed under the name Gallus gallus (chicken). RNAcentral's name for it is "long non-coding RNA NONGGAT001548". Lineage: Eukaryota; Metazoa; Chordata; Aves; Galliformes; Phasianidae. The record is from RNAcentral.
UGGGCUGCAGCAUGGCGGCGAAGGCGUGCAGGGGGGUUCGAGGCAUUCGGUCGUGUUCGCCCCGCUUUGUUCGCCUUUACCUUGGGGUGACGAAGUCUGUCUGAGGCCUUUCAGCACCGACUCUCACUCUUUGCUAAGACAUGGGCAGAAAGGUUUUUAUCUCCCAUUGGUGUCACCCAGAGCCCAGUCAUGGAGGUUGCCCUAGAAGGAAUAAUCUUACUUCACAGCUCAGCCACCAAUACUUAGAAGAACUGCUGAGAAAAAAGCCUGUGCAGAACUUCUCAUGUAGUACCGAGAAACAAGGAAAUCACUGGCCUUCUCCAACUCCACUGACAGGGUAGUAGUGAUGCAGCUCAUCUGAACAGCUACAUGGUACAGAACAGCGGGAUGAAACUCAGAAGCAUAAAUUACUUGGGACUGCCACAACCAAUUGUAUUACAAAUUAAUGCAUGGAAAGACAUCAGAUCAAUUACUGCUCUACGUGGCUGCCUUUGCAAAUCAGCUCAUUGAAAUGGAAUCUCUGUCACAAGUUCAUACACUUUCCAUGUAGCAUGAAAGGACUUAGAUACUUUAAACUUACUAAAUGCAAAUUGCCUGUGCCAAGAUUAUGCAUUUUUCUUAUGAGGGUGAAAAUAUUUUCCCCACUUAUAACUUUGACAUGCAAAUAUGUACUUGCUAAAACCUUGUUCUUAUGCAAACAAGGCAGGUGGGAAAUAUUUUUACAUGUCAAGAAUAUGUUCCAACUUGGUUUCUCACAUUCCCUGAGUUACUGAGAGCUUCCUG